Molecule: non-coding RNA, 1763 nt
Organism: Equus caballus (horse)
Lineage: Eukaryota; Metazoa; Chordata; Mammalia; Perissodactyla; Equidae
Source: RefSeq, a predicted model, not a curated record
GAAAAUUUUUAAUGUUUUUUUUUAAAAAAAGGUAAAUAGGACAGAGGAGUUAAAUCAAACAAAUAUUUCAAGAUGGAUAAACAAAGAGGAAUCAGAAAGGGAAAAGUCACAGGACUCAGCCCAGCAGCAUGGAAAUCUCUAGCUAGUUAGUAAAGAAAACAUGGGAUGAAUGAAACAGACAUGACUGAGGUUAAAACAAACAUUUUAAUAAAAUGCUGCCUAAGGUUGGGGGCUAAAGGGACCCCCUACCUCUCCCCCCAACAUUAAAGGACCUCAGAUGGGCCCAUUGUAUUCACCUCAGUAUGAAAAAGUUUAAAAGCCAGAAGGCAGAAAUCACAAUGAGAAACCUGACCAGCAACUGCUUGGACAAACUGUUAGGCUGCUGAGGUUAAUAAGAUUAUAGAGAUGAAAGUGUUUAAGCUAAUAUUAUAUGAAGAGGUCAUGUCAACUUUGCCUGAAUGUUUUUUGGAAAUGGAUGUUAUGUCUAGCUGGGAAUGCUUCCCCUACACAGUAUUAUAAUUCAAAACUUGUUGAUGAAAUCCUAAUGGAAGUUAUAGUUAGAGGUAUAAGAGUUGAUAAAAUUUUGUAAAAAUUGGUAUAUUUAAAUCAACUUUACAUAAAAUGAUUGCAUCUCUUUUGCCUGAUUGUAUUAUAGAUUAUGUUAUGGGGAUAAACAUUGUGUCUCAGUGGGGAACGUCCCCCACCCCACAGCCUGAUAUUGUAAGAGCAUAGAAAUCCACCCUUCAGGCAAUGCUAACUAAACAUGCUAAAGGAGAUCUCACUUUAAAACAGACAAAAUGGGGCAAUUUCAGUUUACCCAAACUGGUGUGUUUGUGUAUGCAAUUGGAAAAAGUCUGCUAUAAAAUGGAACAACCAAUGAGGAAGCUAUUUUAAUCUUUUGGGGCUUCUAAAUGAAAUCAGGAUACUUUACUGCCUCUUUAAAAGAAAAUAAUUAAAUAAUUAAACAAGCCAGAUUGGUGGAUGUCAGCGGCCCUGCUAGGAAAACGAAACCAAAUCUGCUCUUUCGCUGAGGUUCCUGCUUCGACUCUCCCCAAAUUCUUGAUCUAAAAAAGUGCUUCUUAUUAAGUGCUUGGUUCCUUACUUACACAACAUAAGCCAAUUUGGGGGACCCUUCCUAUGUUCUAGAGAUGAUCCUGGAGAGAACUCCAAUUAAGGAGCUAGGCACUGUCAGAUGUUCCUCUGUGCUAUAUUUGUCGUGGUGACUGGGUCCUAUUAAAAUCCUGGAAGCACAAGAUGGGAUCACAGAAGAAAUGCCACAGAUAAUGGGAACAUGCCAUAGAACAUCACAAUUGGGAUCACCCAAACCUUGGCUGGCUUCAUACUCUAGACACUGACUUUCCUGAAAGGACAAUGGACCCCUGACAGAAUGAAAGUUGCUGUUCAGAAGACAUUCUUCUAAAGAUAAAUAAUGAGUGACUCCAGGGUUCUUACCUUACUUGUUGGACUAUUAAACAACAGGCUACUUGGCUACAUCAGAUUUCACCUGAGGUCCUAGGCACUAACCUUGAUUGGUCUUCUCCUGGAUUCCCCAAGGACUAAGGUCCAUUAUGGAGGGAAUACUAAAAUUUGGGCUGUCUAUUUUGCUAAUAUGUAUGAUCAGCCAUGUAAUUAUAAAAUGUGGACUUAAAUGUUGUUUCAAAGUCACUGAUUAGAGGGCUGAAAUAUUAGUCAUGCGAAGCAUAUCUCACUCUCUCCACCUGGUACCCAAAAAUAUUUAAAAUAAAGGUAGAACAGUUUCAUUC